This 406-nucleotide ribosomal RNA is filed under the name uncultured bacterium. RNAcentral's name for it is "partial 16S ribosomal RNA". It matches the Rfam family "Bacterial small subunit ribosomal RNA", at positions 30 to 526 of the family's 1533-position model. The record is from RNAcentral.
AUUGAACGCUGGCGGCAGGCCCAACACAUGCAAGUCGAGCGAGCGGCGGACGGGUGAGUAAUGUCUGGGAAACUGCCGGAUGGCGGGGGAUAACUACUGGAAACGGUAGCUAAUACCGCAUACCAUCAGAUGUGCCCAGAUGGGAUUAGCUAGUAGGUGGGGUAACGGCUCACCUAGGCGACGAUCCCUAGCCGGUCUGAAAGGAUGACCAGCCACACUGGAACUGAGACACGGUCCAGACUCCUACGGGAGGCAGCAGUGGGGAAUAUUGCACAAUGGGCGCAAGUCUGACGCAGCCAUGCCGCGUGUGUGAAGAAGGUCUUCGGGUCGUAAAGCACUUUUAGUGGGGAGGCGUUACCUGCACAAGAAGCCCCGGCUAACUCCGUGCCAGCAGCCGCGGUAAUUC